Molecule: non-coding RNA, 1717 nt
Organism: Triticum urartu
Lineage: Eukaryota; Viridiplantae; Streptophyta; Magnoliopsida; Poales; Poaceae
Source: RefSeq, a predicted model, not a curated record
AAAAAACACACUAGCCCAAUCCCCUUUUCCCCGUCGAGCAGAGGAGCGCCGGCGACGACGCCCGGGAGGUCGAGGGGGAGAUGGCAGAGAAGAGGAGUCCGGCAAGCCGGUCGGCGGGGGAUACAGAGCAGCCGCGCCGCCGUCUCCUCCCCCUCUUUCCAGGAUCUGGAGUUUGGGUCAGCUAACCGUCGCGGCUCCAUCGGGGACGGCCGCCACGGAGCCCACGCUGGAGGGCGAUAUGGUGCUCAGGUCAGCCCGCAGCGGCUCAUCCGUGUUGUCCGCCGGCACCAAGGGCCGAUCCGUCGCCUCCUCUUGCAACGGCCGCCCUGAAGCGGUGGUCUCGGGUUCGGGUAUGGCGCGAAGGUAACCCUGAAGGACCCGUGCGGGAAGCUGGACUGGUUCGGGUCGUUCGCGCAGACCGCGUCAAUCAGCUGCACCUGCGACGGCUUACCCGAGUGCCGCAUCGUGGGCUGUGUUCCUCGCUCGCUCGACGGCUCGCACCAACUUGAUUUGUGAGCUGUGUGUAGGUUGAUGUGUGCUUUGCUGUUCUUGUGUUUUUGCUGACACUGAAACUGAAACACGGUGCACACCAAACUUCAAAGCAAGUACACGAGAGCAACAACACAGCUUUUAAGAACAGGGGCCGUUGGGUUGCAGUUACAAGGGAGCGCUGAAAUUUCUCAUUUCUCAACAUACUCAAUCAUAGCUAACUACUGGGAUAGGAUUCAUCAUGUGUUCCCAGGACUUCAUGCAAUCUACACACUGAGAAAACAAAAUCAUGCCUAGGCAAAAAAGCUUUAUCACUUACUUCUCAGGUACAAUUCGGAUGAAAAAAACUUCAUUGUGAUCACCCAGGGAUUAGCUUGGUGCCUGCAAAAAGCUUUAUGUGGUUUGCCUACAUCACAAAAACAAUUUGCCUAAAGACUUGCUAAACUUUGCUUAACAGUUCUUGUCCCAAAAAGCAGGAGAUUUUUUUUGCUUUCUUGCUGAUUGCACUGAAUUUGCCCCAAAAAAUGGCACCAACAACUUGUUGUGUUUUUUUAUUACAAAUCAAAGUAGCCUGCGAAAAAACACAAACUUUUUGCCUGAUGAUUACACUUAAUUUGCCCCAAAACACACAAAUGUCACUUGCCUAUAUUUUUUGUUCUAGACAAAUGCAAUCUAAUAUGCAUGGAGGGAAGAUGCAUUCAUAACAACACAACAUUUACUCUUCAUGUUAUUUAUUUUGAAAGCCAACACUGCGCAAAGUCGUUUUCUCAGGUAAGCUAGAUCAUGUACGUGCCAUUUUGGAUUUCGCCCAUUACUACUGCUUCUGACUCAAUCCUUUGCAUGAAUGUGCAAUUCUCCAUAGCUCGAAGUCCAUAAGGUGCUCACCACUGGCGGAGCUGCGUUCUGCUUUUGGAACACCAAAUUUUCCCUUUCAGGUCAACUCGCAAGGAACAAGUGAUGACUCAAGGAUACCAGGAUAUCAUUUGUUGCAUACUGUGUUAUUAUUGACCAAAACUUGCCCAUCAUUUACUAGUUAAACUGUAGUUGCCCGAAAAUCUACGUGAUGGCCCAUUGAAUUAUGAAUUCUUUACCUGUGCAGUGAAGUUAGGCAAUCUGUAAAUAAAUUUGUACACUUUAUAUCAGUAGCAUUAUUUAAGCAGCAAAUUGUUGUGAUUUGCACACAAGUUGCAAUUGCCAAUGGAGUAAGUUGCCUCAAUAUAAAUAAUAC